UUCAACAACAACAUUAUUUUA
RNAcentral lists this non-coding RNA (21 nucleotides) under Caenorhabditis elegans. Lineage: Eukaryota; Metazoa; Nematoda; Chromadorea; Rhabditida; Rhabditidae. The record is from RNAcentral.